CUACGGGAUGCACCAGUGAGGAAUAUUGCACAAUGGAGGAAACUCUGAUGCAGCAACGCCGCGUGGAGGAUGACGCAUUUCGGUGUGUAAACUCCUUUUAUAUGUCAAGAAAAUGACGGUAGCAUAUGAAUAAGCACCGGCUAACUCCGUGCCAGCAGCCGCGGUAAUACGGAGGGUGCAAGCGUUACUCGGAAUCACUGGGCGUAAAGGACGCGUAGGCGGGAUAUCAAGUCAGGUGUGAAAUCCUACAGCUUAACUGUAGAACUGCACUUGAAACUGGUAACCGAGAGUAUGGGAGGGGGAGAUGGAAUUAGUGGUGUAGGGGUAAAAUCCGUAGAUAUCACUAGGAAUACCUAAAACGAAGGCGAUCUCCUGGAACAUAACUGACGCUAAGGCGUGAAAGCGUGGGGAGCAAACAGGAUUAGAUACCCUCGUAGUC
This 439-nucleotide ribosomal RNA is filed under the name uncultured bacterium. RNAcentral describes it as "partial 16S ribosomal RNA". It matches the Rfam family "Bacterial small subunit ribosomal RNA", at positions 339 to 795 of the family's 1533-position model. The record is from RNAcentral.